This 103-nucleotide microRNA precursor is filed under the name Marmota monax (woodchuck). Lineage: Eukaryota; Metazoa; Chordata; Mammalia; Rodentia; Sciuridae. The record is from RNAcentral.
AGAGAGAUAGCUGGGUCAAAUGGUGGUUCCAUUCCUACUUUUCCAAGAAAUAUCCAUACUGCUUUCUAUGUUGGCUGCACCAGUUUGCAGUCCCACCAGCAAU